This 380-nucleotide ribosomal RNA is filed under the name Burkholderiaceae bacterium. RNAcentral describes it as "bacterial SSU rRNA". It matches the Rfam family "Bacterial small subunit ribosomal RNA", at positions 1164 to 1533 of the family's 1533-position model. Lineage: Bacteria; Pseudomonadati; Pseudomonadota; Betaproteobacteria; Burkholderiales; Burkholderiaceae. The record is from RNAcentral.
CGGAGGAAGGUGGGGAUGACGUCAAAUCAUCAUGCCCCUUAUGUCUUGGGCUGCACGCAUGCUACAAUGGCCGGUACAAAGGGCUGCGAAACCGCAAGGUGGAGCGAAUCCCAAAAAGCCGGUCUCAGUUCGGAUUGGGGUCUGCAACUCGACCCCAUGAAGUUGGAGUUGCUAGUAAUCGUAGAUCAGCAACGCUACGGUGAAUACGUUCCCGGGCCUUGUACACACCGCCCGUCACGUCACGAAAGUCGGUAACACCCGAAGUCAGUGGCCCAACCGCAAGGGGGGAGCUGCCGAAGGUGGGAUCGGUGAUUGGGACGAAGUCGUAACAAGGUAGGCGUACCGGAAGGUGCGGCUGGAUCACCUCCUUUCUAAGGAGC